RNAcentral lists this non-coding RNA (30 nucleotides) under Rattus norvegicus (Norway rat). Lineage: Eukaryota; Metazoa; Chordata; Mammalia; Rodentia; Muridae. The record is from RNAcentral.
UGCCACUAUCAGUAAACUUCUUCUCAGUUA